This is a long non-coding RNA of Penaeus chinensis, 309 nucleotides long. RefSeq lists it as uncharacterized. The transcript has 2 exons. The record is from RefSeq and is a predicted model, not a curated record. Lineage: Eukaryota; Metazoa; Arthropoda; Malacostraca; Decapoda; Penaeidae.
AACGAUUUCAGCAGCAACGGCGACCUGUGGAUGAUGCAGGAAAACGGCUUGACUGUUGGCCAGAACAUCUGCACCUACAUGGCCGACCAUUUCUUCUACUUCAUCCACAACCACAGGGUGUACGGCUACUUCGAGGUGUGCGGAGGCGCCUGGGAGUACACAGGAGUCGCGUCGCAGCAGCUGCUGUGUUGCAACGGAGGCAAGCACGAACACUGCAUCUCUAAAUAACUGCAAGAAACCCUGAAACAGACUACACAAAGAAAGACAAACUGUAUUAGAGUUUAAAAUUAAAAUAAUAUUUUCACCCAA